This is a long non-coding RNA of Sinocyclocheilus anshuiensis, 2984 nucleotides long. RefSeq lists it as uncharacterized. The transcript is spliced from 8 exons. The record is from RefSeq and is a predicted model, not a curated record. Lineage: Eukaryota; Metazoa; Chordata; Actinopteri; Cypriniformes; Cyprinidae.
UCACAGAAUUAGAAAUGUCAUUCGACUUCAACAUGCUUAUAUACCGUCAUACACAUAUUUGCAUCUACAUGACUUUUGAUCUGUAAAGCUUCAAUUAACGUUUCCAAAUCAAUGUUAUUUUGAAGUGUUUGUUACCCAAUAUUCACUGCGGUAAUCAUUGUCGAGGUUUUAGUCGGGGAGAAGCAGGUGAGUUUGAAAUAAUCUGUGAGCUCAAACUUUUUAUGAAGUACUUUAUACUCACUUCCAGCUGCAAAAUACAAAUUCCCUCUCAACUGAUACACAUGCAGAGCGAAAUAAAGCUUAAACAUGUUUUACGCGGUGAUUUUCCCUCAGGCAUGUGGAAAUGGGCGUUGAUGGAACAAACAGACGCGAAAGUCCACAUCCAAACGUCCCUCGUUCCAAAUCGUUGUUAUAUCGUUCCGCAUACAAACUUCAUUUACAUUCCGAAAUUCCAGUCGGUGAUUUUGACACUUCUCAAGUUGUUUUCCCUCUUUACAUGUGUAAAUAACAUGGUGGAAAGCAGAGCGUCUAGUGCGUAACCGAGCGUAAUCCAAGAAGCGGCACGACGCGCGAGGACGCACAACACAAAUGCGAUCAAAUGAGUUCACGGAGUUUACCGUGGGGUUCGGCUCUCUCUUUGUCCCACAGCACAAUAAUCCUUCACCAGGACGUCCUGAACUUUACUGGAACGCUGAGGGAACUGGUUCAGAGAUUGCAGACGGAUCUCAAAGUCUCAAACACUGAACAGAAGUACUGCAAGUCUCUGAAAUGACCUCCUGGUGUUUUUUUAAGCUUUGGAUGAAGAGUGGCCCAAACAGAAGGACUCGCUUUACAAGGCUGUCAAAGACGCAAGCGCCAGCUGCGAGAGAAGACCUGAAACGAGCGCGUGGAGCUGGAGCUGGAGAGAUUUCAUGGGCUCCAUCUUCACUGGAUCAGGUGCACGAGUGAGACGCGUCCCUCCAGAAGCGUUUGCGAGCGUGAGAACCUGGUUUCGCUUGGAUGAUGCCAGAGGUCAAGGGUCAGCAGCAGUUAAUAAGAGGAGCUGUCUGAGGUCCCAGGGGUCAUUCCCAAGGGUCUGACCCGCUUGUCGGCAACACUUAAUAAAUGGUCUAAAAGGCUUCAGAUAUAAGACAGUCGACACCUACGAGAUGGUGGCAGCCGCCAUUUUGUGAUGUGCGGGGCCUCAGAGAGGUGAAGUAUAUUUGCUGUAAUUUCCACUACGACAAACCGUUUUGCGCCUAAUAAGGUUAGUCAGUGAAGACCUCGAGAUGAUAUAUGACACUUGAUGCAUUAAGAAGUCAAAGGUAAAUUAAGUGAGCGGCCGAGUGCACCUUGACCCGCAGCCCACACUGGCGCAGCUCCAGGCCGAAAACCUGCUGGAUUUGCCAUUUGGAAGUACUGACCUGCGACUUACCCGUUCCCGAUCCAUUCGGACAGGGGAUUCAGGAGUGAAGCUGCUCCGCUCUGGGACAGGUGCCAAUUGCUCACAAAAGGCGAGUGAAAAUAUCAGUGAUCUGCAAAAGGAAACGUCGGGAGUGAGUGGAAAACGCAAACUCGCAUGCGUCCGUGCAACUAGCGCAGAAAAAAGUGAAGGAUGGUUGCGAUGGGAGGGGAAGACCCCGAAAAAGAGGAUCGUGAAAGAGGAGGUGGGGGUGCGUUUAUUCAAACCUGCUUGAUGCUCCUCGGGCCUUCGAGAGCCGAUCGCAUGUGCCGUAGUAACCGCGGGACCAUUUGCAUGCGGCAGACACGCUAAUUGUGUGUUUGCUAACAUGCACCAUUCAGCGAGACGCUCUCCAGUCCGCAGACGGGGUUCACACACGCCUCCCAGACGCCCCGGAGGCCUCCUAUUGUUCCAAAGGCCCAGCCGGCGAGCCUAACCAGAGCCCUGCGCAGGCCUGCCGAGAGGGGGAACUGGAAUUCGAGACCAGACGGGAUAGCUGAACGGGACGGACUCGCAGCCCCUCUCUCUCUUUCUCUCCGCAGCAAGAAAAAAGAGGCCUCCGGACGCUGACGUCCUCACAGAUAUGUGCAAAAGUAAAGUUUGAAAUGGACUAACCAAGAUGCAGCCCUGCACAGGAACUUGACAGACAUGUUCACUAUGAAUCAUCAUUACAAGGAAAGAGCAGAAAGAAGAAAUUCUCCUGAAGUGUUUGACAGACAUGCGGGUGAGUGAAUAAGUGUGGUUCUGUGGCUUUAAGGCUUCUGGCGUGGCGUGGGGUACAGUACACGAGACUGUAAGCGGCAGAGAGUGGGCUUGUCAGGUGCUGCUGGCAAAGGUUAGCGCUCCGCUUUAAUAACAGGAUGCAUCUGCUCUCCGUCAUGAAUACACCAGACUGACUCUGACCAGAGACACGGACCAUAAGUCUUUUCUGGCCUGUCACUAAAUCGCUUUUUCACAUCGUAUCAGUUACAGGGAACUAAAGAAGCUCUGGCGUUAACAAGGCUAGUUUGGCCGAAAAGCGGUUCAAUUGAGGUUACGCCGAGUCGCUGGUGGAACAGCUUUGGCCGAGAGCCUCCAUUGGCCAUUGUCUCGCAGUUAUGACAAAUACGGUGAACUUUUGGGGAAAUUAUGAACAAAUAAGGUGGAAACAGUUGCUGGAAUGAUAGCGGGGAGGAAAUCGGAGCGUAUUGUAGGUGUGAACCUGAUCCGGCCCUCAUCGAUUGAUCAUUGCUCCGCAUUCCUCGGCUCUUUGAAGCCUGCGGCCCGACGAAACCCUUCCCAGAGGCUCAUUGUCUUGUGUCGAGCUCUGGAGUGACAAUCCUGUGCGGCUGAUCUGGCUCAUUAUGGAGUCGUGCUGCUGUUUAGUGAUGUCUCCACCACCGGAGACACCGUCUAGUGCUCUGGACAGAACAAGCACGCUUUUUUUUUUUUAAGAUGCCAUAGUAAAGAAAAUGCUCGCGAAAAUAGUAAUGAGAUUAAAUAGACUAUUCAGACCUGUUUAAUGUGCAUUUAGUAAAUUAUUUGGUAAAUGUGUUUUUAUCCU